Long non-coding RNA from Pezoporus flaviventris, 321 nucleotides. RefSeq lists it as uncharacterized. The record is from RefSeq and is a predicted model, not a curated record. The transcript is spliced from 2 exons. Lineage: Eukaryota; Metazoa; Chordata; Aves; Psittaciformes; Psittacidae.
ACCAGGCGUCACUGACCCUUUUGAUCCCUACUCAGGUGCUCAGCUGCCCCAGGGAGCCACCGCUGGAGCCGAGGCCAUGCCCCACUGGAGCAGAAGUGAUUGCAGCCAGUCCCCAGAUGGAGGAGUCCCUGCAGAGCUCAGUCCCUCCUUGCAGAAGACAUUGUAGUCAAAGACCUAAUGAUCUUGAACAGCUGGGAGUAACUGGAAACACCACCACACUGGCCAGACCAACAGUGUCUUCUGCCUGGAGAACCUACAAACAGGAUCAACAGCAUCUAGUGAUGUAGCCGUCAACUGUGGCAUAAUCAGGCUCACCUGAAA